UAGGGAAUCUUCGGCAAUGGACGAAAGUCUGACCGAGCAACGCCGCGUGAGUGAAGAAGGUUUUCGGAUCGUAAAACUCUGUUGUUAGAGAAGAACAAGGACGUUAGUAACUGAACGUCACCUGACGGUAUCUAACCAGAAAGCCACGGCUAACUACGUGCCAGCAGCCGCGGUAAUACGUAGGUGGCAAGCGUUGUCCGGAUUUAUUGGGCGUAAAGCGAGCGCAGGCGGUUUCUUAAGUCUGAUGUGAAAGCCCCCGGCUCAACCGGGGAGGGUCAUUGGAAACUGGGAGACUUGAGUGCAGAAGAGGAGAGUGGAAUUCCAUGUGUAGCGGUGAAAUGCGUAGAUAUAUGGAGGAACACCAGUGGCGAAGGCGGCUCUCUGGUCUGUAACUGACGCUGAGGCUCGAAAGCGUGGGGAGAAAACAGG
Molecule: ribosomal RNA, 429 nt
Filed under: Gemmatimonadota bacterium
Lineage: Bacteria; Pseudomonadati; Gemmatimonadota
Description: Gemmatimonadetes bacterium partial 16S ribosomal RNA
Rfam family: Bacterial small subunit ribosomal RNA
Source: RNAcentral